RNAcentral lists this ribosomal RNA (500 nucleotides) under uncultured bacterium. Its description in RNAcentral is "partial 16S ribosomal RNA". It matches the Rfam family "Bacterial small subunit ribosomal RNA", at positions 30 to 523 of the family's 1533-position model. The record is from RNAcentral.
AUUGAACGCUGGCGGCAUGCCUUACACAUGCAAGUCGAACGGCAGCACGGGAGCAAUCCUGGUGGCGAGUGGCGAACGGGUGAGUAAAGUAUCGGAACGUGCCCAGUCGUGGGGGAUAACGUAGCGAAAGUUACGCUAAUACCGCAUACGAUCUAUGGAUGAAAGCGGGGGAUCGCAAGACCUCGCGCGAUUGGAGCGGCCGAUAUCAGAUUAGGUAGUUGGUGGGGUAAAGGCUCACCAAGCCGACGAUCUGUAGCUGGUCUGAGAGGACGGCCGGCCACCCUGGGACUGAGACACGGCCCAGGCUCCUACGGGAGGCAGCAGUGGGGAAUUUUGGACAAUGGGCGCAAGCCUGAUCCAGCCAUGCCGCGUGCAGGAUGAAGGCCUUCGGGUUGUAAACGGCUUUUGUACGGAACGAAAAGGUUUGGCCUAAUACGCUGAACUCAUGACGGUACCGUAAGAAUAAGCACCGGCUAACUACGUGCCAGCAGCCGCCGUAA